This 3017-nucleotide long non-coding RNA is filed under the name Brassica napus (rape). RNAcentral's name for it is "long non-coding RNA (BNAP_LNC020556)". The record is from RNAcentral. Lineage: Eukaryota; Viridiplantae; Streptophyta; Magnoliopsida; Brassicales; Brassicaceae.
AUUUCUUUCUUCAAGUCAACACUCCCCCUCAAGCUUGACUCUAGGUGAUCCUAAGUCAAGCUUGGAACCUUGAAGAACUUCCUCAUUAAAAACCUCACCAAGGAAAACCCUUUGGGACAAAACUUUGAUGAGGGGAAAAGAAUAAAGGCUCCAAGGCCUAGGGAUUGGCCAGUGAGCUCUUGUGCCUUAGAACCAGUGUGGUUGGACACAAGAAGCUCUGGAUCACGGCCUAAACAGGUGCAGCAACACUUUAAGGCUUUCGCACACUUCACCACACCUUCUUGGACUCUUCUAUAGAACCGGUUUAGUGUCUCCCCCUUUCACCGGACUUCAUGCCACCUUGAAUGGCUAGGAGCGACCUGAUCCUCUCCAUUGAGUCUCCAAGUAAGGUACCUGAUACAUUAUUCCACAAGUGUAUCAGUACUUAUCAAGUAACAUAACUCAAUCAAUUCAAAUUCAAAUGAUGCUUAUAGACCGUCUUUAGUAAAACUAGUAUUCCUGAUAGAUUACUAGAUAUGUUGCCAUCUAGUAACACUAGUAUUCCUAAUAGAUUACUAAAUAUGAUUGAAAAUGAUGAAUUGAAUUGAGUUUAGGGAAACUUCCCUUUUUCUUUUGGUGAGGAGUGACUGGAUUGGCUCGUCACUUGAAUCCCUCAUACUAGGCUAUUGCACCAUCCUCAUGGCAACACCAACUCUUCUUGGAACUCUCCUUUGGACCGGCCUAAGUCUUCCCUUCUCUCGUGGCUUCUUGCCAUCUCCAUCAGGUAAGACAUGCCUAGCUCCUGCUCAUUGAGUAUCCAAGUACUUGUAUUAAUGGUGAGGAGUGGCUGCUCUUCACACACCACUUGAAUCCCUCACUUGCUGCGCUUAACAACUCCUUGUUGUAUCAUGCAAGCUUGAGACCGAGUAUAGGGAAGAUCCAAGCUUGAAGGAGAGCGCAUACUAAGCUCCAUGAUCACCCUUGUGGGAACACCUCCAUCUUCUUCAAACUUGAUGCUUACUGCCCCCACUUAACCACCAUUGCACUGAGGAGAUACCUCAGCUCACUCUCCAAGCACCUCACACCAGAAGCUUAUUGAGUAGCUUUCUUCUUCCCUCCACUUCGGCUGGAUCACUCCAUGAUCAGCUUGCAAUGGUCUUGGUCUUAAUUGCAUCACCCUCCUGGUGAUGCUCUUCCUUGCAUGACUAAUGUCCUCUCUACACUCAUCUGAUGUGUAGGCUAUGGGGACUAAACCACCAUGGACAGAACCGCAAGUCACCUCUCCAUUGUCACAACAUCCUCUCUACCCUCUUUGGAGCAGGCUGCGGACUUCUCCACAGAAUGUUGGCAAUAGGCUUCAUCUCUCCAUUGUCACAACAUCCUCUCUACCCUCUUUGGAGCAGGCUGCGGACUUCUCCACAGAAUGUUGGCAAUAGGCUUCAUCUCUCCAUUGUCACAACAUCCUCUCUACCCUCUUUGGAGCAGGCUGCGGACUUCUCCACAGAAUGUUGGCAAUAGGCUUCAUCUCUCCAUUGUCACAACAUCCUCUCUACCCUCUUUGGAGCAGGCUGUGGACUUCUCCACAGAAUGUUGGCAAUAGGCUUCAUCUUAUCAUUCUCUUGUAAUGAUAAGGAGGAAACAGGUCUUGAACUUUGGCUCUUUAGGUUGCUCAUUUGAAUCCCCACCGCAAGCUUGAAUUGAGUAUAGGUUCAAGCUUGAAAUGAGCCUCAAUGAACUUUAAGACCAGGAGCACACUACCCUAACAGCUGCGCUUAAAUCACUGAUCCACCCUUUUGCCUUCAGCUUCAAGUACCCUCAGAUCACCGGCCUUCCUCAGGACUUAGGUGGUGACCUUCUUCUUCUUGUGUGUCUUGAAUCGAGAGCUCAACAACCUCGUGGCAUGCGCUUCUUAAACCGGCUUCUACACACAAGCACCUUCCCAUUGCUCCACACAAUGGAUCAAGUCUUCCUCUUGUGUGUCUUGAACCAGGAGCUCAACAACCUCGUGGCCUGCGCUUCUUAAACCGCGGAUUCUCAUUUACUUCAACUUGCCUUAUUUGGAGUCUUUGGCAAUAACUUUCCAACAGCUACUUCCUAAACAAGUUGUGCACGACUUCAUCACAUAUCAAGCCAUCAAGAAGAUUCCUAGUAAGCUCUCAUAUCCACUCAAACCGUCCAGGUUCAAGAGGAAUCAAGUUCCCCAUUUAUGGCCAAGCAAAUCUCAUUCCAACGACCAUAUUUUUCCAUUGAAGACUAAACUUUAUUUUCAAGUUAUUUUCUUUCCUUGUAUUGUUUUUGACCGUUUGGUCUUGUCUAGAGUCCCCUAGGAGAGCCUAUAUAAUUUCCAGUCGUCCAUCAUUGUAAAGCACCCCCCAUCUUGAAAGUAUUAUGAAAUAUUUAGUUUUCUAGUUUUCUUAUAACUAUUGUUCUGAGUCUUUAGAGUGUUGUAAGAAACAGCUCUAAAGCAACUUGACUUAUCAAGGAUCCCUUCCAUAGAUAUUUGUGGCAUCCAUCAUCCAUCUCCAUCCAUUAAUCGAUAUUGAGAGUGAUACACAUCCAUCAAGACCGGUUCCAUCUUCAUCCAUCUUCCAUCCAUCGAUCUUUAUUGAGACUGAUACACAUCCAACAAUAAAGAUCUCAUCUCCAUCCUAUCUAUCUCUUUCCUAUUUGUUUUAUUCAUAUUAUCAUUCUUAUUCUUAUUCAUAUUUGUUUAUGUUUGCAUCAUAAAAAUCCAUUCUCUUUGUUUUCAGGGUUCCGCUUGCUUCCACCAAUUAUCAAUUUGUGGGUUACCAUUUCUUUCUUCAAGUCAACACUCCCCCUCAAGCUUGACUCUAGGUGAUCCUAAGUCAAGCUUGGAACCUUGAAGAACUUCCUCAUUAAAAACCUCACCAAGGAAAACCCUUUGGGACAAAACUUUGAUGAGGGGAAAAGAAUAAAGGCUCCAAGGCCUAGGGAUUGGCCAGUGAGCUCUUGUGCCUUAGAACCAGUGUGGUUGGACACAAGAAGCUCUGGAUCACGGCCUAAACAGGUGCAGCAAC